GCAUUGGUGGUUCAGUGGUAGAACUCUUGACUUCUACAUGGAAUACCUGGGUUUGACUCCUGGCCAAUGUA
Molecule: transfer RNA, 71 nt
Filed under: Loxodonta africana (African savanna elephant)
Lineage: Eukaryota; Metazoa; Chordata; Mammalia; Proboscidea; Elephantidae
Rfam family: tRNA
About the family: Transfer RNA (tRNA) molecules are approximately 80 nucleotides in length. Their secondary structure includes four short double-helical elements and three loops (D, anti-codon, and T loops).
Source: Rfam by way of RNAcentral